RNAcentral lists this ribosomal RNA (253 nucleotides) under uncultured bacterium. RNAcentral describes it as "partial 16S ribosomal RNA". It matches the Rfam family "Bacterial small subunit ribosomal RNA", at positions 524 to 776 of the family's 1533-position model. The record is from RNAcentral.
UACGUAGGGUGCGAGCGUUGUCCGGAAUUAUUGGGCGUAAAGAGCUUGUAGGCGGUUUGUCGCGUCUGCUGUGAAAAUCCGGGGCUCAACCCCGGACUUGCAGUGGGUACGGGCAGACUAGAGUGUGGUAGGGGAGACUGGAAUUCCUGGUGUAGCGGUGAAAUGCGCAGAUAUCAGGAGGAACACCGAUGGCGAAGGCGGUUCUCUGGGCCUUACCUGACGCUGAGGAGCGAAAGCAUGGGGAGCAAACAGG